GCCAUAUCUAAUAUAUUCAUUACUCUAUUCUGGUGACAAGAGUAUUAAGUCAUACCUAAGUGGAAUAACUCUUUAUCGGAAGAAUCGACCACGAGACAUUACAUGAAAGAAAAAAGAAUACUGAAGAAAUUAGGCAACUGAACUGAACCCUAGGCCUCGAAUGACAGAAUCGUUAAGACUCGAGAGCCAGGCGAGAAGAAUCGUGUUGAUGUCCUUUCUUAAGAGUCUGCAGCCACUUGUCACUUGCAUUGGUAUACGUAGGUCGUGGAUAUAUAUGUGACCAUUAAACUGUGAAAUAGUAGUAACCGAUUGCAGCCCAAGAUCAAGAUAGAUUAGGUAUAAUGUGUUCUGAUUUAAACCUUGAGUUUAUUUAGAUUUCUCUUACAAGAAGCCUACCCUAAGCAACACCUGCUACUAUGAACCGCAUUACCAGAAGUUUGGUACAACCGUAUCAGGAGUCAACUUAGAACAUCCGAACCCAGUAAUUGGUGUAACCGGAAUAGGUUUAGAUUGGCACUUACUGAUCGCACAGCAUGAUUAAGGGAAGGUCCCAAACCAUGAUGCAGUUAGGGAAUAUGCUUCCGGGACUCGUCAAGCGUAACGCAGUCUUGCAGGUUUUAGUGAAUUUCUUUGUAAACUCAGCAAUUGAACCAUAAAAUUCUGUUUCUCUUGACUACAAAUGUAUCAGAGUUAAAUCUUCAUUAUAUUUAAUUCAAGCCAUACAAAUGGCGGCACAUUUGAAAUGAUGGUGACAGUAGUAACAGAAAAUGUCAGAAACUACUUCCACACGACUAAACAGUCUCCUGUGAGGGAACGUCUUCUUGUCCUCUGUUGCAAGAUGUAGACAGGGAUACAAAAUUACGAAAUAAUAGAAGUUUUAUGGUAUAUUCCUUUGCCGACGACGUUCACGUAUCACCAUAGAAAGAAAUUGAAUGAGUAAUUUGUUUAGAAAAAAUUAUUUUAGAGGCAUUCAUAAUGUUAAGUGUCUAUAUA
Molecule: long non-coding RNA, 993 nt
Organism: Macrobrachium nipponense
Lineage: Eukaryota; Metazoa; Arthropoda; Malacostraca; Decapoda; Palaemonidae
Exons: 3
Source: RefSeq, a predicted model, not a curated record